Molecule: ribosomal RNA, 165 nt
Filed under: uncultured bacterium
Lineage: Bacteria
Description: partial 16S rRNA
Rfam family: Bacterial small subunit ribosomal RNA
Source: RNAcentral
UAGGGAAUCUUCGGCAAUGGACGAAAGUCUGACCGAGCAACGCCGCGUGAGUGAAGAAGGUUUUCGGAUCGUAAAACUCUGUUGGUAGAGAAGAACGUUGGUGAGAGUGGAAAGCUCAUCAAGUGACGGUAACUACCCAGAAAGGGACGGCUAACUUCGUGUCAG